Notothenia coriiceps (black rockcod) is the source of this 1273-nucleotide long non-coding RNA. RefSeq lists it as uncharacterized. NCBI's taxonomy places the organism in Eukaryota, Metazoa, Chordata, Actinopteri, Perciformes, Nototheniidae. The transcript has 3 exons. The record is from RefSeq and is a predicted model, not a curated record.
UGAAGAAGUACUUUGAGCUGGAGCCGCUGGCCAGAGGGAAGCGCUGGGUCCUGGAGGGAAGCUCCACCGACAACCUGGAAGCAGUGAAGGAAAGCUUCGAUGUGCAGCAGGAGAUUCUUCAGCGCUGACGUCCCUGCAGAGGAUCCCUCCUGUCGGGCUUGUGAUCCGAAAGUUCUGUCUCUCGUGUUGCUGCUCUGCGAACAAACCUCCCCCCAUCCCCCCUCACCCCUCUCCAAACCCCUCUGAAUCUGCCUGGUUCACAUACACAAGAUUAAGUAGCACAAGUGACAUCCAAGACCAAUCGGGCCACCCAAGAGAACCGCAACCAGCGGAGAGGCUGUCAGAGCCCCCUUUUGCAACAUUAAUCUUCAAGCCUCUCCUGCACUGCCAACUCACAUCUCCUUCAAACAGGACAGGGAGGUAAAACACGGAACGUUUCCCUCCCUGAAGGUUUUCUCCUCUCCAUCAAUUAACUCUUUGGGGGACAAUUCAUCGUCACCCGCCAUGUGCCAGACAACUUCAAACACUGGCAAAAUGAAUUACUUUUCCAGGCAUUUUUGGAAAACUUGCCUAUAAUUUGGCAACAAGGAGAUUAGUGUGGACAUAAGUUCAAUUCCUAAUCGACCCAAAGGCCUCCACAAAGACAUGUGAGGCAGAAAUCACACUAAGAAUUCUGCUUUAAAGUGAUUUAUGCCAGAGAAAACUACAUUUAACCUGUCUGUCGAGGGCUGUGGAGACAUUUCCCCGGUCUGUUCCAGCCAUUAACAAGAUGUUAACAUUCAGCAGUGGAAUUUAUCUCAAACGUCAGAGGGCUGCUAAAAUAGACAUCCAGGGAUCAGCACGCUAACUGAGCGCUCCACCACGGCUAACCCUUUUGUCUUCUCUGCUGACCAAUAUCAUCUUUGAUCUCUUUCAGGAGGACAUCUCUAUGGUGUGUUUGUGUGGUGGGGGUUAUCCUGACCUAUGGGUGGAUGAGGUGUCAUGUCCAACCUGAUAGGAGUGUGAAUGGGAAAACAAAAAAGAUGAAUACAGCGAUUGAUAAAUAGCGGAACAUGGGUGUGUUUUGCUGUGGAUGCCUUCAGUCCCAGGAGAGGGCCUUCCUAACCCCAACCUUUCUUCUGCCUGAGACCUGAGAAGCAGAGGGGGACGUCGCGCCUUCUAACAGUGAUCCUUUGAAGAGAGCCAUGCUGAAAUCCAGCAGCAUGCGUCAAAUACUUUCUGCCAUAGUUUGGUGAGACAUGGCUGGAACCUUAAAUCUGUAGGAAUACAUCUG